UACGUAGGGGGCAAGCGUUGUCCGGAAUCAUUGGGCGUAAAGAGCGUGUAGGCGGCUUGGUAAGUCCGCUGUGAAAGUCCAGGGCUCAACCCUGGAAUGCCGGUGGAAACUGUCAAGCUUGAGUCCGGAAGAGGCGAGUGGAAUUCCUGGUGUAGCGGUGAAAUGCGCAGAUAUGCGGAGGAACACCGAUGGCGAAGGCAAUCCCCUGGGCCUGCACUGACGCUCAUGCACGAAAGCGUGGGGAGCAAACAGG
RNAcentral lists this ribosomal RNA (253 nucleotides) under uncultured prokaryote. RNAcentral describes it as "partial 16S ribosomal RNA". It matches the Rfam family "Bacterial small subunit ribosomal RNA", at positions 524 to 776 of the family's 1533-position model. The record is from RNAcentral.